Molecule: transfer RNA, 87 nt
Filed under: candidate division WWE3 bacterium RAAC2_WWE3_1
Lineage: Bacteria; candidate division WWE3
Description: tRNA-Ser
Rfam family: tRNA
About the family: Transfer RNA (tRNA) molecules are approximately 80 nucleotides in length. Their secondary structure includes four short double-helical elements and three loops (D, anti-codon, and T loops).
Source: RNAcentral
GGAGGGAUGCGAGAGCGGUCUAAUCGGCUCGCUUGGAAAGCGACGCGUCGCGAAAGCGGCACGAGGGUUCGAACCCCUCUCCCUCCG